This is a long non-coding RNA of Zingiber officinale, 770 nucleotides long. RefSeq lists it as uncharacterized. The record is from RefSeq and is a predicted model, not a curated record. The transcript has 3 exons. NCBI's taxonomy places the organism in Eukaryota, Viridiplantae, Streptophyta, Magnoliopsida, Zingiberales, Zingiberaceae.
GUCGUGCCCCAACCCCCCGCACCUUCCCUUCUCCUCCUGUGCCCAAACCGCUCGACACUGUUUCUUCUCUUCCCUUUUUUCUUUCGCGACGCAAAGCCUUCCCUUCUUCUUCCCUGAGCCGAUCCCCUCUUCCUCUUCUCGCGCUGUCGCUGACCUUCUCUGUGCUGAUCCUUCUUUCUCUUCGAGCCACCGCCGGCCAAACUUCUUCUCCUCUACCGACCUGCCGACACCAAUAACUCACGGAGCACCCCGAAAGUUCUUCCCUCUCCCAGAUCGCCGCUCCACACAAGCAAAUCUUUGGCAUAGAAGGGAGAUCCAAGCCCAAGAUUUGAUCCCUCAUUGCUGCAGUCACUCUUGCGUCGCGACUCCGACUAUCGAGUCAUGCCCUAGCGUGGAUCCACUGCUCCUCUUCCAAUCUGGAAUCGUGCCCUAAUUCCCCGACUCCAGCCUCCACUGGUCUCACACCUCAGUGUCGUUGUCCCUCUGCCCUAGCUCCGACCAAUCUUUCCUCUGCCCUAGUUGCGAUCUUGGAGAGCAUCUUGUUACUAUAUGGUGAUCUUGGAGUGGCUACAUUGGUUAUAGGCAAAGAGGAGGUGAUCAGUGUGAACUUAGAAUAAGCUUCCUCUAUUGUUUCCAGCAGCGGCUCCGUUCUUGUUCCGGCAGCCAACGUCUUUGAUUUUGGAUCAACAGUGAUACACCCAAAUUUAGGUACCAAGUUGUUUAUAGAGUCGCUUGGAGUAUCCUGCCUGCCGGUCCCCACAUCACAUCAG